GCUUAAUGUUAACACUAAAGGUAUUGUUCGAUGUUUAACGGCGUUCUUUGUAUCUUAAAUGAGUCUGAUAAUAGCUAACACGGCUGGCUUUCGUUAACUUUCGAGCUAACGCAAACGACCUCGUUAACCAGGCUACUAACCUCUAGACCUGUACUUUGUGAGGUACAGGUACAGUGACUUUUAGUCGACGUAUAUGUUGUCCAAAAGCAAAGACUACGAAUUGUUUUCAACAAUUGGUUGGGUAAUAGCAUAGCCGACUCAAAGUCUGCUAUUUGGAAACUGUUAGGAGCUAGCAGCUAACAUUGCCUGCUACGUUACCUGAGGUAACUUUAAUCUUGUUUGACAGCUAGCUGCUAACGUUAACUGUCUGUCUAGCUAUUAUCUACUUUAACUAAACAUCUCUAUUGUGUGCCAUCCAUUAUCAUCACUUUUAUUCGAUGUAUGAAUUGUAAAAAACAACGUCUAUGAAUUAUGUCCGACGUCGGGUAGUACUCGUGAAUUCAGACAUUUGAUGAUAGUGGAACAUGGCUACACCAGACACGGCAGCACAUCGAACAUUCUAAAAAAAAAUACACCAGUAUUUUGCAUUUGACUAAUGUACCGGAGGCUGCAAGAAAACAAGUUAGUUUAUUGCUAGUUUAUUUAUGCUAAAAACACUACGUCAACGCCAAUGGGGUCGAAGUUCCACUAAUUUGAACUUGAACUAGGACGUACAUGACUAGGCCAGCAUGUAAGGUAGGCAAGAUGUUGCCAACAUAGACACCUUCAUAAGGCACACGGGCAAUGGACAACGGGAUGAUAAAACAUAAAAAAAAAGAAAAAAUAGACUUGUUGACUUGUAAUUUAAAAAUGUCUAGCCUAUCAACCUACUAGCACAAUUUGUUUCUGAUUCUGAUGUUACAGCAAACAAACUUAUUUCUAAGCUUGGCCCGAGUACAAGUCAUGCUAUUGAUACUACUUGAUCACACAGAUGAGAAGUUAGGUAAUUGUGUUGCAUUGUAAAGUUAUAGUAGUGGUCACAAUUUCACACAUUUUUCUUUAUUCACAACAGAAAACAAUAGUCUUUCUAAAGACUCAAUCACCAUCCUCCAUCACCACCUCCACUUGUGGUGUGGCAGUUUUUGCCAAAGAAAAAUAAUCUCAAGACUCAUUCUGUCUUUUGCGGUGCUGCAGACUUUUCAGGCUUGUUCCAGACCAGCUCUGCCAGAGUGGUGUCUCUGUCACGUGUGACACUGUGCCUGUCUGUCUGCACACCCUGCACUGCACUCAUAUACAACAGAACCCACUAACGCCUACCUGCAAACAUAUCUACGACAAGAACCGAACACUUCCUGAGAACAUAUUUGACUGCACAUACUCUACUCUGUACAUACUCUACUCUGUGCCAUUUUCAGACUAAAUAUUCCUUUGAAACUAACUGAAUACUCCUUUGAGACUUGAAUACUUUGAGAUUUGAUUACUCCUUUGAGACUUGAAUACUUAUUUGAGACUUGAAUACUUUGAGAUUUGAAUACUUUAAGAUUUGAUUACUGCUUUGAGACUUGAAUACUUUGAGAUUUGAAUACUUAUUUGAGACUUGAAUACUUUGAGAUUUGAUUACUCUUUUCAGACUUGAAUACUCAUUUGAAACUGAAUACUGUGAAUACUACUUUGAAUUAUACUGACACUCUGAAUCCCACUGUGAACCAGCAGCAUCCUGUAACAUACAGUACCUGCAAACAUAUUUCAGACAGUAAUUUACCACUUUCUGAGAGCACAUACUCUGAACUAUAUAAAGAUUCUGAAACAUACUAAGAAUUACCUGUGAACUAUUCGGAUAGAGAACUAUUACUGUGAACUUUACAAACCUCAACCAUUUAUAUAUUUGAAUAAUAUCUGUCAAAAGUUGUCUUUGCUGUUGCAUACCUACUUUUACAUCUGAGCUGUGCUGCAAGGCUGAACUUGGGGUGUGUGAGGACUUCAACUUGAGGGCUCCCUCUCAUUCUUCAUCGGUGUCAUCAAGUGCUCCCUCUACCUAACAGUUCCAGUGCCAUAUUUCAUAAUUUAAUCAAUAAUUAAACUAAAGUAAAUAUUUUGUGUAAA
This is a long non-coding RNA of Sardina pilchardus (European sardine), 2082 nucleotides long. RefSeq lists it as uncharacterized. The record is from RefSeq and is a predicted model, not a curated record. NCBI's taxonomy places the organism in Eukaryota, Metazoa, Chordata, Actinopteri, Clupeiformes, Clupeidae. The transcript has 2 exons.